UCAGCACAGAGCUCAGCUCUGGGCUCGAAAUCACGAACUGUGAGAUCAUGACCUGAGCGGAAGUCAGACGCUUAACCAACUGAGCCACCCAGGUGCCCCUUUUUAAACUUUUUUUUUAAAGUUUAUUUAUUUAUUUUUAAAGAGAGAGAGGGAGACAGUGGGGAGUGGAGGGGCAGAUAGGGAAAGAGAGAGGAUUCCAAGCAGGCUCCAAACUGUCAGUGCAGAACCCAAUGCAGGGCUGAAACUUACACACUGAGAUUAUGACCUGAGCUGAAACCAAAAGUCAGAUGCUUAACCAACUGAGCCACCCAGGGGCCCCAAGAAGCUUUGUUUUUAACUCUAGUUUUAUCACAAAUCUAGUAACAUAAACCCUAGUAAUUAAUGAUUAAUAAUUCUGAAUGGUGACUUAAAGGAAAAAAUAAAAGGAAGAGAACCUGAAUUAUUUACGUCCAGGCAAAUACUACUAAAGGAUGUAAUAUUUCAUUAAUUUCACUGGUUAUUAAUCUAUAAAUUAGACAUAUGUAUAUGGAAUGAAAUAGAAGAGUUGCUGAGUCUUCUAUUUUUCAUUAACCUAACUUGGAAUUCAAACUGUUAAAUAAAAGAAACUAUAACUGUACCUUGGUUUAUUGAGCGUGUAAAUAUUUGUUGAAUAAACAGACAAGUUGACUUCUUGCUGAUUUAUGAAAGCAAUUCCCAGGCAUAGUGCUUAUAGUGAAUAUUAUGGCAGAGCCUGCUAAAUGCCUCCCUAGGAGUCAGGCACCCUCUCUUCUUGCAGAAACCUCAUUUUACUAAGAAUGGCAAUGUGUCUAGCCAAAAAACAUUUCCUACCCUCCCUUGUAGGUAAGAGGAGGCUUCAUUGCUAAGUUCUGGGUCUUCUAGGGAAGGUCUUUAAAAAGGGGCUUACUUGGGGUGCCUGGGUGACUCAGGUGGUUAAGCAUCUGACAUUGGUUCAGGUCAUGAUCUCACAGUUUGGGAGUUCAAGUCCUGUGUCGGGCUCUGUGCUGACAGUUCAGAACCUGGAGCCUACUUUAGAAUCUGUGACUCCGUCUCUCUCUGCCCCUCCCCACUCACGCUCUCUCAAAAAAUAAAUAAAUGUUAAAUAAAUAAAUAAAAAUAAAAAGGGGUUUACUCAGCUGACAAGCAACUAGUAAACUUUUGCUCUUCCUCCUUCCUUCUGCCUGGAACCCAUGUUGUGAUUGGAGCUGUGCUGCUUACAUUAUGACCAUGAGCUGAGCUUGGGGAUGGACGAUAAAGAUGGUUGAGGAAGAAGAUGCACCACUUAGAAUAUUGGUGACAAAAAGGAACCAUCUUUCUUCAUAAGAAGAAAUCCAUUAUAUAACUGAUACUUUGCAUAACGAUCCUGAAAAAAGUAUUGGCUCCUAUUUCGCAAAAUAAAGGAAUUAAGGCUUGAAGAGGUUAUAAAUUCCCAAGGUCACAGGGCUGCUAUUCAUCAGGGGACACUAAUGACACAAGCAAUGGAGAUACAACUGCAUCAAGAUAUUAAUGCUUUAUUGACUUCCUAAAGGUGACUACCAGUCAAAUGUUAUAUUUGAUACAUGCACCAGAAUGUAUGUACCACUUAUAACUUAAUAAAAUACUUAAUAACCUAUUUCUAAGAUUUAAGAAUUCAAAUUUACCAAACUGUUGCAUAUGCCUACUACUCCUCUCAUCUAUUAUCCCAGCCUCUCCAAAAGUGAACCAUUAUCCUACUAUCUUUAUAUAUGCCUAAACAAUAUAUUGUUUCCUUUUUCUUGUUUCUGAGCUCUCUAAAGUAGUAUCAUACUAUUUGUAGUCUUCUGGGAAGUACUUUUUACACUAUCAUUUUCUUUCUAAGAUUUACACACAUAUGUGUGUAGUUCUGAUUUUUACUGCUUUAUAUUAUUCCACAACUGAAUAUACUACAGUGUACAUUUUAUGAUCAAUGGACAUUUGGGUUGUUUUUAGAUUUUUGCUGUUAAAAAAACACUCUAGGAACACUCUUGUACUGUUUCCUGAUGCGUUUGUACAAGAGUUUUCUAGGGUAAACAUUUGGGAAUGGAAUUGCUGGAUCAGGGUAUGUGAAUAUUCAAUACACACCCUCAACUCUGCAUAUCAAGAUAAUGGUUCUUUAAAAA
Molecule: long non-coding RNA, 2114 nt
Organism: Acinonyx jubatus (cheetah)
Lineage: Eukaryota; Metazoa; Chordata; Mammalia; Carnivora; Felidae
Exons: 2
Source: RefSeq, a predicted model, not a curated record